GAGUAGGUGCCAGCACAAAGGCUGUU
This 26-nucleotide non-coding RNA is filed under the name Homo sapiens (human). The record is from RNAcentral. Lineage: Eukaryota; Metazoa; Chordata; Mammalia; Primates; Hominidae.